This 230-nucleotide ribosomal RNA is filed under the name uncultured bacterium. RNAcentral's name for it is "partial 16S ribosomal RNA". It matches the Rfam family "Bacterial small subunit ribosomal RNA", at positions 118 to 346 of the family's 1533-position model. The record is from RNAcentral.
UGAGCAACCUGCCCUUGACUCUGGAAUAACAGUUGGAAACAGCUGCUAAUACUGGAUAUGCACCGGGCCCCUCCUGGGGUGUGGUGGAGAGCUCCGGCGGUCAGGGAUGGGACCCGCGGCGCAUUAGCUAGUUGGUGAGGUAACGGCUCACCAAGGCAACGAUGCGUAGCCGACCUGAGAGGGUGAUCGGCCACAUUGGAACUGAGACACGGUCCAGACCUCGUACGGGA